RNAcentral lists this ribosomal RNA (270 nucleotides) under uncultured prokaryote. RNAcentral describes it as "partial 16S ribosomal RNA". It matches the Rfam family "Bacterial small subunit ribosomal RNA", at positions 524 to 792 of the family's 1533-position model. The record is from RNAcentral.
GACGGAGGAGGCAAGCAUUGUCCGGAAUUAUUGGGCGUAAAGAACACGUAGGCGGUUUAUCAAGUCAUAAGUGAAAACCUUGGGCUUAACUUAAGGAUUGCAUAUGAUACUGGUAAGCUUGAGUACAGUAGAGGAAAGCGGAAUUCCUGGUGUAGCGGUGAAAUGCGCAGAUAUCAGGAAGAACACCAGUGGCGAAAAGCGGCUUUCUGGACUGUUACUGACGCUGAGGUGUGAAAGCUAGGGUAGCGAACAGGAUUAGAUACCCGCGUA